RNA transcript from Centropristis striata (black sea bass), 2381 nucleotides. It is a transcript of the gene named serine and arginine rich splicing factor 7a, with no coding region annotated. NCBI's taxonomy places the organism in Eukaryota, Metazoa, Chordata, Actinopteri, Perciformes, Serranidae. The transcript is spliced from 9 exons. The record is from RefSeq and is a predicted model, not a curated record.
UAGCAUGAUCGUUUCCAGCGAGCCGUUUCUGGAAGUUAAUGACCUGUGAGCUACAGACAUGUGGAGGACUCGUUGAUGUCCGUUCCAGUGGCGCUUUAGCUCAUUCAUUCUGCAACAAUCACAGUCGUUGAUAUUUGCAACACCAGCCGGGCUUCUGUUCGGAGCGGGAGGAUUUAAUCUCUGCGGGGAUCUGAGUCAGAAAUCGGCGGAGCAGCGGGAGAAGGCAAGGAGAUAUGUCUUACUAUUCCUCCCGUAGUUCGUCUCGGGCCACCGACUGCAAAGUGUACGUGGGUGACUUGGGCAAUGGUGCUGCCAAGGGGGAGCUGGAGAGAGCAUUCAGUUAUUAUGGCCCGCUGAGAACCGUAUGGGUGGCCAGGAACCCACCUGGGUUUGCAUUUGUGGAGUUUGAGGAUCCUAGAGAUGCAGAAGAUGCUGUUAAAGGCAUGGAUGGGAAGCUCCUUUGUGGGUCCCGUGUUCGUGUGGAGAUGUCAACAGGCCUCUCCAGGAAGGGCCGUGGGCGCCCCAGCCGACGACAGUUCGACCCCAAUGAUCGGUGUUACCAGUGUGGGGACCGGGGUCAUUAUGCCUAUGACUGCUACCGCUUCAGCAAGAGAGGGGGAGGAGGAGGAGGUCGUCGCGGCAGCAGAUCUCGCUCUCGUUCCCGAUCUCGCUCCAGGUCCAGGUCCCGUGGGCGCCGUUAUCGAUCUCGCUCCCGCAGCCGUAGCCACAGCCGGAGUCGUCGCCGAUCUCCAUCCUAUUCCAGGCGCAGGAGCAGGUCUGGCUCCCAAGCUCGUUCCAAGUCCAGGACUCCGUUAAGAAGUCGCUCCAGAUCUCGGUCUCGGUCCGGCUCUGCACCCAGAGGACGAUCCGUCUCCAGAUCCCGCUCACGAACUCCGUCAGCCAAUCACAAGAGGAACAGCGUGUGGUGGGAGCUGAGCACUGCACUGACACCGCAGCUGAUCCCAGGCCCAGGGUCUGCCAGCUGGCGGUGUGUACGUCCUGCGGGAGGGUGACUAAGCGCUGACCUGAGAUCAGCCUUCGCCUGCAUCUGGUCUUAGACAGCGAGAAAGAGGUCGACCUACCGACCGAACCCUCCCCACAGUGACCGUCAGUUCAACCGACGCACGCGCUCAGACGAGAUCAGCCCGUGCACACAUAGAGUUGUUCUACUAGAGUCACCCACCCACCCAGCCAGCCAGCCAGCCUUCAGAUGUACCAGAGGGCUGACCCACACAGAUCAGAGUUCGACCACUACCUUUUUAAAUCCAUUACCUACCUACGUACCAGACCCCCCUACCUACCUACCAGAGUUCUUCGGCCUCUGUCUUAGCUUCUGAAAGUGAGAGAAAGAGAGCUGACGAGAGAUCAGUCUUCAAGAGCCUCCCUGCGCAGUGUCUCUCCAAGUUGUAGUCAUCCGUCCUUCAGUCCUUUCAUCCUUCGCUUCUCUGUACUUGUUGUUUCUGCCACUGUCUCCAAAGUCGUUCCCGUUCAGCCAGUCCACACCGAAGCCCAACACCAGUGAGAGUGAAGAUUGAAGAAGACUAAUUAGUUCCUUAACAGACAGGCCCUCAACCCCUGCACCCUGCUUGCUUUUACAGCCCUGCAGCUGCUGUUUUUUGUACAUGUCUGUCUAGUCCCAGUCUUUUUUUUUUAAGUUUAAUUUUCUCCCCAGGACUGUAGUCUUCAUGCAGCCUCAGAUCGUUGACGAUUUAGUCAGUAUAGCAAAAAAAAAAAAAAAUCAUUAAUUUGAUAGAUUGUUUUAAGUGUUGCGGCUGCUGCAUAGAUCAUCUUUCUUCUCUGAAGGUCCGUAGCAAGUAAAAACUAACACCUGUGUAAAGGUAAAACUGAAUGUUGCCGUUGACUUUUAGCAGUGAUUUGAGCAGCUCCUACAGUGAAUACUUUGUGGAAGAGCCCAGUUGAUGUAACUCUUGAGGGUAAAGACAUUGCAUCGAAAACUGCUUUUAUUACAUAAAAUUUCUAAACCUCAAUAUUUUUCCCCAUUGAGAAUUGGCAAACAAUUUUCUUUUUUGUAUUGCUCUUUGGUUCAAAUUUUUGAGUUUAAAUGCUCGCUCAGCGUUUUCACUCAUGAUGGCAUAAGGAGGUAGUUGCUGGUCUGCAUGCCUUUGAAUAUGACAUCACAUUCCUACUGUUUGUUGUGUCUGUACUGCACUGUCCCUGUUAGGAACCCGAUCAGCGUCACUGUGUGCUGAAAAGAUUUUCCCCGUGUAUUGAUCUCUGAUUUGUUCAGUGACUUUUACUUUUAAAAUAUAUACAGUGCUGAAGUUUGAUUUCUGUAAGGGCUGCUUUAACAGUUUUGUUCUGUUCCUGGCUUAUAUGUAAGACAGUGGCAGUUUUAUUUUUGAAUAAACCUCUUCAACAAA